Molecule: non-coding RNA, 45 nt
Filed under: Schistosoma mansoni
Lineage: Eukaryota; Metazoa; Platyhelminthes; Trematoda; Strigeidida; Schistosomatidae
Source: RNAcentral
AUCCAUCUGACGAGUCCCAUAUAGGACGAAACGCGCGUCCUGGAU